CGGGACGGGUGAGUAAUGUCUGGGAAACUGCCUGAUGGAGGGGGAUAACUGCUGGAAACGGUAGCUAAUACCGCAUAACGUCGCAAGACCAAAGAGGGGGACCUUCGGGCCUCUUGCCAUCGGAUGUGCCCGGAUGGGAUUAGCUAGUAGGUGGGGUAACGGCUCACCUAGGCGACGAUCCCUAGCUGGUCUGAGAGGAUGGCCAGCCACACUGGAACUGAGACACGGUCCAG
Molecule: ribosomal RNA, 233 nt
Filed under: uncultured bacterium
Lineage: Bacteria
Description: partial 16S ribosomal RNA
Rfam family: Bacterial small subunit ribosomal RNA
Source: RNAcentral